This 1308-nucleotide long non-coding RNA is filed under the name Chinchilla lanigera (long-tailed chinchilla). RNAcentral's name for it is "lncRNA (ENSCLAG00000029285.1)". Lineage: Eukaryota; Metazoa; Chordata; Mammalia; Rodentia; Chinchillidae. The record is from RNAcentral.
UCAUGGAAACUGCAAAAGGUACAGUCACUUUGGAAAUCAGCCUGGCAGUUUCUUGUAAAAUUAAACAUACAUUUACCAUAAAUUAGAAUUUUAGGAAAUUUUGUUAAAUAUUCUCACAAUUAAAACUUUCCAACGGUUCAGUUUCUGAAUCGAAUUGCUGCUGGUUUAUCCUCCUGGAUAUUUUUUACUGUGUUGAACUUCGACUUCAGUUAAGUUCGUAUUUCUAAACCUAACACAGAGUCAAAGGUGAAUGAAUCAUGGUAUAAAUUCAUCAGAGAGAUGGGUCUUGUCUGGCAAUUGCUUUAAGGAGUAAAGGAGAACGGGAAAGAAUGGUCAGAUGAAAUACGCUGGUUGUAGUAUUUCAAAAUGAAAAGGACAAGCCAAGAGGCAGGGGGAGCAAGAAACCCCAGCUCAACAGGCGAGCCACCUGGAGGACAGGGCCCUGCAGCCAGCGGAGUCUACGUCCUACAGAAGACCACUCCCCUAGCUCUGACCACGAGGCACCUUCUGAGGCCAAACCAAGCAACUAGAAAGGCGGCUGGUCAUCGUUAUGGUCACUUCCCCGGGCCGGUGGGCUAUGCAAAGAGGCCAUACAGGUGAAGGAUAUCUGAGGAGGUGCUGGUCCCGCCUUUGAUCCUCACCACCACCUGACGAAAAUGAGGAUCACUGCGAGGACCUCUGACCCCGGUGCUCCUCGGAUCCCGCAUCAACUCCAUACCGAGUUCCCCGCCGAUACCCCGCGUCCGACUCACAGACGCCAUUGCCCAGGGGCUUCUUACCCUGCUCCAAGCAGCCAGCUUUCUGUCCGCGCCAGGGGAGUCUGGAGCUGUUGCUGUCCGUUGCCACAGCAACCGCGGAGUGCCUCACAGCCUAGUAAAACGAGCAACGAUUGGACAAUGUGAGCGUCCUUAGCAACCGCCUGGCAAGCCCUAUCCCACAGAAGAAUUUGCUUUCCAGAAAUUCAUGCGAUAACCUCUCUCCCCAAAGCCACCAGCCACCUGUCUUAGUUCCUUAAAGGCGUUUUGUGCAUUAUCUCACUGAAUGCUUGCCUCCCCGUUUGGUGUGAAGAAUCCCCUUUUCCAGAGGAGUUUUCAAUCUGGGGUCUUUUAACCUCUUCUGGAGGUUCACGCAUCAACCCUCACCAAGUUAUAUUUAAAAGUUUGUGUCCAUUUACCCGGGAAGAUUCUCAAAGGAAUUGGAAAUAAAACUCAGGCUGCCAGGUGCCUAAGACAGUUCACAAGAAUAACUUUCAUACACAUCAACCCCAUCUUCCUUCUCAGAAACCCAAAUCAUGUCUUAAGAUACCUC